AACAAAGAAGUAAAAUUACAUUUAAUUUCGACUUAAAUUAAGGAUAAAAUCCCAUGUUU
Molecule: transfer RNA, 59 nt
Filed under: Magadhaideus sp. n. SX-2018
Lineage: Eukaryota; Metazoa; Arthropoda; Insecta; Hemiptera; Achilidae
Description: tRNA-Arg
Source: RNAcentral